CCUUGGUUCCUCGCCAAUAUUAGCACAGGACGAUUUACAGUCGGGAUACUGAAGCAGCUCGGCCUCUUGGUGUGUCGUAAAAAUCGUCGGUCGUUGCACACACCAACCAGCCGUCCCGCCGCCACACACUCACUCACAGGGGCCAGAGUUCAGGGCAAGGCAGGAGAGCGGCUUGGCUUGGCUUGGCGCGCUCAACCUCCGGAGGCCACAACCAAGCCCCAGACUAAGAGCCCUGCCUCUGGACAUGUGCAAAGUGGUGGCCAGCCUGGAUAGGGAAGAGGACUUCUGCUUCCGGAUCAAACGGCCUUGCCCAGCUUCCCAGAAAAACCCAAAGCCUCCCCUGUUAGGAGAGGCGGAUGCAAUUCCCUGGGCCGGUGCUUUUGUCGAAGCAGGGUCCCUCAAAAGGCAUGAGAACCCCACAAGGGACCAGGGCGACAGAGAGGGCACCAGGGGACGGAGGGACUUGUGGUAUCCCACCACCACACGUGUCUUCGAGGCCAUGUUAGUCGCCCUUGAAAAUAUAUUGGUGGCUCGGGCCUAGGUAUUCUCAGCCGAAUUGGGAUGUUUGUGAUGGGGUUGCUAGGAUAGCCUGGGUCAGAGGAGGAAAGCGCAGAAAAGCGAAGCCCACCAAGCGGGGGAGGAGAGUGAGGACGGCGGAUGCAGUGGGACUGGGAAGGCCGCGGGCAAAUGCGAUGCCCAUUUCCCCUUGACGCAGUGCUGCAGCUCCCAGGUUCAUUGGCCCUUAAUGGCAAUCAUGCCCAUGAAUACGCUUUCCACAAUUUCCCCAUCGGCGGGUGUCAUUAGCCCAGCCAAGCAAGUGAACAUCACCCCCAUUAAGGGGGGUGCGGCAGAGGGGGUGGGGGGGGAAUGUUUCCCCAGGAGAGGCGGCACAAAGUCGGGGAACAGCCGAAUCCGGCCUGUAUCUCUCUCUCUCUCUCUCUCUCAACAGCUGCCUUUCCAAAGCAGAGCCGAAGGUAGUUUGGUGAUUGUGUCUUUGGCCCAAAGCACGUCUCUGGAGCCUGAAUCGGACCGAGAGUCUUGGGGGAACGUCCCGGCGGGCAAGCAGGCAAGGAGUGGUGAAACUCCAGCGAGAGAAAGAUCAGAGAAAUUUUUCUAAACCUUCCUGCCCAGCUGAGACUUCUUAAAUUGUAGGCCCUAGCAACUUCCCAGCCAACGGAGAGCUCUCGGUGGAAAAGGUGUGGUGGCCAGGCAAGAAAACAGAACCCGCAGAAGGCAUUUGUUUUAGGGCCGUCCGGGCCAGAGAUUCAAAUCCUUGAUUUGGGAGUCUGGCAUGGCAGACAGCAGUGGUACGAGAAAUUCUGCCCCAACACUCAGCCCGCACAGAGCAAGCCAUAAAGUCAGAUCCCCCAGCUCAGCAUGAUCAUUAAAAGAUCUCCACCAGCUUGUAUCUACCAUGUAUGUCUUCUUUGGGGUGGAGUGGGAGAGGAUCUGAGCCCUGUUAACAUAUAAGUAUUGUUUCUUUUGAUUAGCCAUUGUCAUGGGCCUCGCUUUCAAAUAAAUGUCUCUUUUUAA
This is a long non-coding RNA of Pantherophis guttatus, 1533 nucleotides long. RefSeq lists it as uncharacterized. NCBI's taxonomy places the organism in Eukaryota, Metazoa, Chordata, Lepidosauria, Squamata, Colubridae. The record is from RefSeq and is a predicted model, not a curated record.